CCUACGGGUGGCAGCAGUGGGGAAUAUUGCACAAUGGGCGAAACCCUGAUGCAGCGACGCCGCGUGAGGGAAGAAGUAAUUAGUUAUGUAAAGCUCUAUCAGCAGGGAAGAAAAUGACGGUACCUGAGUAAGAAGCCCCGGCUAACUACGUGCCAGCAGCCGCGGUAAGACGUAGGGGGCAAGCGUUAUCCGGAUUUACUGGGCGUAAAGGGAGCGUAGGCGGCAGUGCAAGUCUGGAGUGAAAGGCGGGGGCUCAACCCCCGGACUGCAGUGGAAACUGGACGGCUGGAGUGCAGGAGAGGUAAGGGGAAUUCGUAGUGUAGCGGUGAAAUGCGUAGAUAUGAGGAGGAACACCGGUGGCGAAGGCGGCUUACUGGAGUGUAACUGACGUUGAGGCUCGAAAGCGUGGGUAGCAAACAGGAUUAGAUACCCGGGUAGUC
Molecule: ribosomal RNA, 440 nt
Filed under: uncultured bacterium
Lineage: Bacteria
Description: partial 16S ribosomal RNA
Rfam family: Bacterial small subunit ribosomal RNA
Source: RNAcentral